UACAAGAGAUUGACACUGUGCGA
RNAcentral lists this non-coding RNA (23 nucleotides) under Mus musculus (house mouse). The record is from RNAcentral. Lineage: Eukaryota; Metazoa; Chordata; Mammalia; Rodentia; Muridae.